ACUCCCCACCGCAGUGGGGUCGUGGCUCCUGCAGUCACUGGGUUGAUGGUAGGGCCGGAGGUUGGGAUUCUCAGUUGUGAGAAAUCCUCUAAGUCAAGGCUGAUGCUAACCUGCUGCUUCAAUAUUUGCCAACUGCUGCAUCUUGAACCUUUGCAAAUAGAGCCUUGAAUACUUUCAGCAUAUUUAAAUCUAUCCUUAUUGUCCCAUAGCAUGUUUCUGGUGAGAUUUGGGGAAGAUCUGGGCAAAGAACCUCUGUCCUUUCUGCUUUCCCUGCAUCCCUGUCCUCUUUGAAGGUGACACGCUGCUGUACCAAAGCCGUGAAGGUUUAAACUGACAGCUCCCAGCCUCAAAGCUGGCUGUAGAAGCCAAAUCCAGCUUCCUCCAUACCAUUGCAUCCUGACUUGGCUGGACAGAGUGAGGGCAGGGAUUGCCCAUAAGCACCACAUUGGAGAACCCUCCCUGGAAGGAUGUGAGCUAAGAGGAGGACUCUGAUGAAGGCAGGAGGAGGAGGAGAGGCCGAGGCGGCGGGCAGCUGCCUGCUCCAUUGCCAUUAGCGAUGCGCUCUGCUUUCUCCCCCCACUUAGGCCAUUAUUCCAGGCUCACAGGGCUGUGGUUGGCAGUGCGGGCGCCGGGCCCCGCAGGGAUGCAGGCCCAGCAGCCAGCCCUCACGUCUUCCUCUGCUCUUAAGUGGGCUGGUAAAGGAAACCACCCCCCUGUGCCUGGAGAGCAGAGCCGUGUUAAGCCGGCUUGUUUAAAAGCACUGCAGCUUUCUUUUGGCACUGUGACAAGCGGGGACGAUGGCAAAAAGUCUCUUUUCUCGCUGCCCCAUCACUUCUUAUUGUGUGAUGCUAACAGGGCAGCGCAUCACUGCAGCCCUCCCCAUGCACCCAGCUCCUCCAGGUCAAUCAUAUGCGCAAGACUCUGGUGAUGACAUCCUGCUGCCAAGUGUCGCAUCACCAGCUCAGCUGCUGUCCCCCGGUGCUGUCUCACGUUUGGCACCUGUGCUCCCCAUUUCCUCCACCCGCACCAGCUUCUCACCCUCGCACACCCCCAGUGAUGAUGCAGUGCGCGGAGGAGCAGCGUUAGUCACCGUUCUGUAGGAAGAAGGCUGCGAGCAGAGGAGGAGGAGAAGUGAAGCCACAGUGCGGAGCCAACAACCAUCCCUCUACGUGUGGUUGGGGCUGAAAUAAUGGCACUGGGCUCAGGCAGUGCCCUGGAGCUGGCCAAGUGGGCAAAUCCAGCUAGGAUGACCCACAGAGGGGGAAGCGGUGUGGGAGCACAGGAACCAGAGCUGCUGAAAUGUUUCCCCUGGGAUGGAGCUGGGAUGGAUUUCCUGAGCAUCCUUUCCUCGAUAGAUGGAGCCUGUUGGGGAGAGGGUGGCUGAAGGAGAUGAGCUGACAACAGGGCAGUGAGAUGCCUUGGGGGUCUGUGGAGAGGUCUCUGCAGAGGCGUCUCCUGGGGAUGUUCCCAAAGCCAUUCUCUGCCUGGUCCAGGGCCACUGCAUGUUCCUGGAUGAGAAACGUGAAGCUCAGCCCUGAGAUGAGCUCUGCUUAACAGCCACUUCCCUACUUGCAGCUUCAAAGUCCUGCAGUGUGUGGGCACCAGACUGGAGGAGAGAUCAACCAUAGAACACCAUCUCCUUUCUUGCAAAUAAGCCUCAGUCCAGCCAGCAACAAAGCAGCAGCUGCCCUAUUUCCAGGGCCGGUGGGAGUGCAAAGCCCUCUCCUCCUCAUAUUCAUCGUUGUCAGCUGCAGAUUCUGCUGUAGCCUCCAACUGCAUGUAAGUCAGGACUGUGCCAUGCAAAUGGAUGGGACUCAAGAAGCAUCCUGCACCACGAGCUGCUGCCAGGACCUGCUCUGUGUUUUCAUGUCACACAUGUCCAUGUGUCUGCAUCUAAGCCUGUUCUUGACUUGCCCAGUACACACAGGGAUGCUGUGCAUGCUCCAUACUUUAUGUAUGUUAACUUUUCAUUGUAUCCAGACCCUCUUCCAUCACGUGCGUCAUCAGGUUGCUGAUUGCUUUCCCCAUGGUGGUCUGGAAUGUGAAGACCAAUGGGGUGCCAAUGUACCUGUGGACCCUGGGACACCAAUGCACUGGUGGAGAGUUAAUGAAUCACAACAUCACUUAUGCAUUAACUUCUUUGAAAUGCAAAGCACUCCCUUGAUAUUUCAGCAUUUUCCACCCAGUCCAAAGCAAAACCCGAUAGGUAGAGAACAGUAGGGAGCUGCACAAGGUAACACUUCCACCUUGUGUCUGGUACAACGAUUGCAUCAGCAUUCAUUACAAUGGAACUUGCUGCCCUUUAAAGCAGUUCAGCACAUGCUGUAUCUUCAGCUUUCCUGCUUCUGAUCAGCUCUGCACUGAACUGCUUCCUUGCAUGCAUUCAAAACAGUUUGUAAUUAACAAUCACAUUGUUUUCCUUUGAACAUCAACAGAGAUACAGAAAACAGAGAUUGAGAGCUGAGAUGUUGGUACGACUGGGUAUUAUUCUGCUUUCAUGAAAUGGCUUUUCCUAUUUUGCUGCAAAUUUAGUGCUGAUGAGAAGCUGGGCCAGUGUGCAGGCAGCCGGGAGGCUUCACUCACCACCUCAUGGACAAAUUUCUCUCCUAUCACUAUGGGGAAGCAGGAAAUUUGAGCUUGGAUGCCCUGUUACCUUUGCCUACGCUGAAUGCAUUCUGGACACCAUUGCCCCAUUCACAAAAUACACUCAGCAGAAAAACCUGCAGAGAAGGAUGAGGAAAACUAAGAUUGUGCAGGCUCCUGAGCUACGCAGCGUGUUGGAGCAGAGCGGCUGCGUCGAAGCCUUGGCUCUGUGAACAAGAAGCAGAUUACAAACUUCUUCAGUUCUGGUGCAGAGCUUGGAUGGGAGGAUUGCUCCCUCCAUCUGUUCUUCACAUAGGCAAUCUGCCUUCGAAAGCCAUCACUGCUUAAGUAUGGAGGAAGCGUAAAUGCAGGAGCACCUGAAUAUUGUUUAACAGAUGGGGACACACAUUUUUCAGGCAGAGAUUUCCUUUCCAUUGCCCCACUUAUUUCAGAGGUGUUUUUCAGGACCAUCCUUCCAGCGCCUGGGAAUAGGAUCCCAGCCUGCAGUUUGUGGCGACGGUAGUUAAUUCUCAGCAGCUAACUUUGCUGAGAACACUCUUGUGACAUUUGUGAAAUUUGCUUUCAUCUCCUUCCCUUCCAACUAAGCUCACAUUUUUCAUCAAAGCCUUCCAAGAGGCAUCACACUCCAUGCCACACUCUCCACCCUGGGAGCAAAGUGGCUGGAGUUCAUCUGUGCCAUUCUGAAAUGCUCAAGCAAACCGAUAGAGCACACAGCCAGGCUGCAGCCUGCGAAUGCCUCUGCCCACAUGCACAUCUUCUCUCCCUGCAGGAGCUGCUCUUCUGUUGAUGAUGCUCACUUGUUCUCGCCCCUUUUGCAUUAGUACGUACGGCACUUUCAGCUUCAUCAACCCAAGGACGACUACAAAUCUUCCAAUGGGAAUGCUGUUGUAGACUGCUGAGUGGCAGAAAGGAAAUUACUUUUCUUUGCAACUUUUUGAUGAUUCCAUGCAAACAGAUGGUGGACCCCAUACCUCAGGGACUGCACACUGAAGCCACCACCUCACUGAGUUGGUGAAACCAACAGAAAUGUGUCAUAUGGACCCCCACAGAGCCCAUCUACUGAGAGAAGUCACAGCUGGCAAAGAGGAGGAAGAAAGAACUGAAAAUAUAGGCACAGAGGAUGGACCUCAAAUUUCUCAGUUUUCAUCUCACUUCCCCUUCCCAUUCUUUAGUCAUCGUAUUCUUUCCGGAAGAAAGUGGCUGUUGGAAAACAGAGAGAGAAGACGACAAACACUGCUGUGGAAUUAUUUAACGAGCCAGAAUGAAUUGCAUUUGAAAUCAUUUAAAUGGGAUCUGGGAGUAUUUAACUGCAGCGCAGGAACUUAACAAGAGUGGGAAAGGAUUUUGUGCUAAUUGCUGGCAAUGAUAUACCUACGGAGAGAGAACAUGCAGCAAUUAGUAAGCAGGGCUGUAAUUUCAGCCCAAGGUCCCUGCAUGCCCUGGAAUAUGGCAUGGAUUAUCUGCUGAAAGGAAGACAGGGGCCUUGGUCUGCAUGUGACCAAAGGGCAGAAGAUGAGGUUCUCAUUAAGAAGUCAUUAGCCAAGAUUGUCACACAAGAGAUGGGUCUGCUCAGACCCCACUGCACCCUUCCCAACCUAACUUGGCUCAAAUUGACAAAACUGAAGGAAACCCAAAGCCCCAUCCCAACAUGUGCUGUGCUGCUUGGUCCCUUCCCACCUGCAGGGACUCAUCCUGCCACCAGCCCUUGCUCCAAGCUGUGAGUCUACACAGAGCGCAGUGGGAUGACCACCAACUUGGCCACUGCUUGCUGGGCAAGGAAGCCAGGGCAUCCUUGGUGCUUGUAGGUUUGGGAAGCAGGGUGAGCAGGAAGCUGAGCUGGAGAACAAGGACAUGUCCUUCCUAUAGAAAUACCCAUACAGUCCAGACUGUAUGAUGCCACUGUUCUGAUCCUGCAAACUUCAGGCACAAUCGAUGUCCACCAACACGUCCACAACCCCAGCCCCGAAAGAAUCAUCUGAAACAGCGCCUGGUGAGACCAGGUGUUCUCACUAUGGGCUAAGGCAGAAAGCCACCCUGCCUGGCUGAGCCUCUGCCACCUGACUGAGGCACACAGCCUCUGACAGCCUCUGCUCAUUGUUUUCUAUCUCCAUUCUCUCCCUGCGAUGCCUCUGUCUUUGGUUUUUGUCUUUCAAUCAGUUUUCAUCUCAGUAAUUCCCAUUCAAUGGUUAGUCUCUGAUCUUUCUAAUUGAGAUCAGAGCUUCAUGUAAUAGGGAGGGGGGAGGGAGACUAUUUUUAAUUUGCUACGUUCCCAUUAAUAACAAGUUCUAAUUAAAAAACCUCCAUCUUCCAUCCUCCCAAGUUCAGAGGAAAACUCUGCGACUUCUGUUGGAAUCUUCUCCUGAUAAAUUGGUACCACAGCCUCCUAGAACAGCUGGUCCUCUUUAGCAGGCAUCGUAAUUAAUGGGAAUAAUAAAUGCAUUCAAAGCAGGUUCGUAACCUUCCUUUCUGUGCACUCAGGCUUCUCUUUGCUUUGUGAGAGAGACACAUCAGCAUCUCCACUUCACAAACAGGCCCAGCAGAGCUGCCUAAUUCUAAGAAGCCCAGAUGCCAGUGGUAGCCACUGGGCCAUCACAGCCCCUGUGAUACCCUUUGUGCAGGGCUCCAUUUACACCAGCUGCUGGCAGGGGCUGCCUUGGGCUGCAGAUCAGCUGUGCUAGUGGUGGACAGACUCUUGCUCUCCCUCUUUGCUUUUGUUCAUCGCUACUGAGUUAAUGGAUUUGUCUCAGGAGCAGCCAAACCGGGAGCCAUCAACACAGAUAUCCCCAAGAUGAGCAAUCUGUCCUGAGCAGUGAUUUCAAUUAAAGGGUCAUUAGCGUGAAAUCUUAUCCCACCCAGCUCCCAUUUGCCAGGAGGAGGUCCUUUUCCCCGUCCCAAGCCUGUUCUGCGGUUAGAGCGUGCUGCUCCUGCUAGAGCCCUCCCGUUUUGCUAAAACACAGCAGCUGCUGCUAAUAAACAAACAUAUUGAUCAUAGAGAUAUGGGCUGUCAGGGACUUAAUUCAUAAAUGAAACGUACUGGGGAGUGCCUGGUGGGAGAGGGCUGUGCUUGGAGAGCUCGAGGUCAAGAUGGUGCCUGGAGGUGGGAGCAGAAGCUGCUUAGCACUGGGGUUGGUGUUAAGAGUUCAAAGGCUGAAUUUGUUCAUGGUACAGAAAGGAGCAGGGCAAAUUUCUCCCCUGUCAUUAUGGGCCAUCAGUGACAGAGAGGGAUGUGUUGUGGGGAAGGGCUCCAGUUCCUUCCUACUGAAACAUUUGGGUUAACCCAACCAUUUGGGGCUAAUUUAAGAAGACCAUCAAAUAUUCUCCAAAAGCCAAUCGUAAAGUCCUAGAAGGAUCUGAGGCUUGGAGAGAAAUAGGUGCUGCCUGCCUGCUGAAAUCUGUGAUGCUGGGAUGGCAGAGCAUCAUGUCAGAAACUCCAUCAGUACAGAGGAGGGGACAGGAGCAGAGCUGCAGGUUUCCAAUUUUCCUACCCUCCUGACAGCAGUUUUCCUGAUUUGGGUCAAAUUUUCCCUCCACCUAUAGACAGUAAAACUCUCUUUUUGUGUGAGAUUAGGACUGUGUCACUGAGAUACUAAUGGCUGCCACUGUUUCUAAACUGUUGUUAUUGUUUAGCAUCUUAUCAAAACAAGGUACAAUCAACUCACAGGUGGAUUCCACACAGCCAGGGACUGUAAUUACGACAGGUGUGUAUUUGAAAUACCCUUUACAGGUGCAAUAAAUUACAAUGAAACAGCCAAGGAUGGAGGUUGAACUGUAACAGGCUGCCAUACUUUUGGUAUUACCAUGCCAAAAGCUGUCGUUGAAAUAGGCCUUGGUAUUUAUGGUCCUGGGUAGUGGAGGCUUUGCUAAGAUUCUGAUGAAUGAACUUCCAAGGACAGGAAUAGCUGUCAGUCUGAAAUAUUUAUCAGUCUGAACUCUCUGUGCGAUUCAUGCCAUGGUUUUGCUACCUCCAUUUUUCUUCCCGUCUGCUUGCUUUGAAGCUCAGGUUCCCUGGGCACCAGGUAUUCAGCACUGCUGAGUGCUGUGCUACCUCCUGCCCCUGGGGCCAUGUUUUGGGCUCACCAAAGGAAUUCCUGCUCCCCUGCAGUGCAGGAGAUGGAGGCCAUGUCUAGAUGACUUCAUGCUUUCCCCAGCAUGUGUCCGGAUGCUGCUGCUGCAAUGCCUUUGCUGUGGGAUUCCCACAUCCCUCUGGCUAAGGAGAGGUCAAAGGAGCUUCGGGGCAUGCAAAUAUGACGGGCACUGCAGCCUUGGUAGUAGAUCCAUGCAUGAAGGAAAAGGAAGGUGGGUUUGCUGAGUAGGCUUCAGAAAAGCCUGAGAACCAGGAUUUCUGUGCAAAGGCAAAGCCUGAUCUCACCAACUGGGAGUUUCCGUGCUCCUCGGGUCUCCAAGGCACCCGAAGCUUGCAACUUAAUAAAAGUCUAAACAUUAUCUUCUGAAAGAAGGAAUGAAAACUCCCAGUGAAUCACCUGCAGCAAAUGCCAGCAAAGCACGUUUCCUUGAGGUUUCUUGAAGCUACCUCUGAAAGGUCAGAUCUCUCAGUGAGACAAAAAGCUCUCUUCUCCCUCCUAGCUGUUCCAUCAAUACUUUUUUUUUUUUCUCCAUUUAUUUUUAUCUUCCCGUUCAGGAAAACAUACAUAAAGAAAAAAAAAAUGCUGCUUCCCAUGACAGCAGCUAAGUCCAAAGCUCAGUCUUAGACUAAGAGCUCAGUCCAAAGACCCCAAUACACUUUAGGAGCAAUAGAGGAGGUGAGGAGACCCUAGUGAUGAUCAGGGCAAUGCAAAGUCAGCUGUGAAGUUGGAUGCAGAGGGGACAGCUGAUAUUCUCCACUCAGAAUCAAAGCAAGAGUCUUGUCCAGACAUGUUCCCUUCAGCCAGGGGAUCUGGCCGGCUCCGAGCACCUGAUCAGCUGUGGGUGUCCCCGUUUAUGGCAGGGGAGCUGGACUGACGGCUUCUUCCAGCAGCCAGCUCACAGGGUCUGGGCGUGGGCAAGGGGGAAGGAGGCCCCACCUCCUGGCGAGAGAGCAGGAGCUCUGCAGGGAGGAUGUGUCUCCUCUCUCACUCAUGCACUUAAUGACUCUCCACUGAGUUAAUCGUGCAGUACAAUUCAAGGGUAAUAUUCCUAACCGCACCGCUGGGCCCUCAGCGAUACCUCCAGCUGCGGCACACCUCCACCUGCUGACACCAUCCCUCCUUUUUCCCCAUCUCAUCUCUCUUGGUCAUUAUGGCCUUUGUCCAACAAAGCACUUAAACAGGUGUUCCCCUGAGCAAGUAACCCAGCCUUCUCCAUGCGGUGAAUCCCGAAGGCCGUGCAGGAGGCAUCUGGCCACCUCUGCCCUCUGCACACCUGGGGUUUUUUGGUGUAGAAGAGCACUGGGGCCAAGGGCAGAGCAGAUGGAAGACCCUUGGCUGAUCUUCUCGCUGUGUUCUGCAGUCCUGACAUCUGUUCGUGUGUGACAAGGGGAAUAAAUCACUAAGGAUUUCCUGCCUGGACUUGGGGAACCUGAAUGCUGCUGAAGGCUGAGGUCCUUUGGUUUGCUCAGCCCAGAGAAGAGGAGGCUGAGGGGAGGCUGCAGGGCAGCCUACAGUUCCCUCAUGACCUACAGCUUCCUUAUGGCCUACACCUUCCUCGUGGCCUACAUCCCCUCCAUGGCAACCUACAGCUUCUUCAUGGCCUACAUCCCCUCCGUGGCAGCAUACAGCCCCCUCACGGCCUGCAGUCCCCUCAUGGCAGCCUACAGCUUCCCCAAAGGGAAGAGAGGGGCAGGCAGUGCUCUCAGCCAUACGGUCUGAUUUUGGGGACUUGAUGAUCCUUAUGGGUCCCUUCCAAUUUAGGAUAUUCUAUGAUUCUGUGCUUCUAUAAAGUGCGCGAGCCCUCCGUGCAGAACAUGAUUCUUGCUACCAAAAUGUCUCCUGUAUGACCAGAACCAAAAUCUCUGCAUUUCACCCCAAAAGCACCAGACUCAAGGUUAGCUCCAUGCACCAGUGCAGUAUCUCUGCUGCUCAGCUCGGUAACAAGCCGCAGAUAAGACAGUGGGGCUUACAUUUCAGGACUUAAAUAUUCAAUUAAUCAAUGGAAUAUUCCAUUAGUGUAAUAAUCACUUGGCAUUGGCUGAUCUAUCGGUACAUCUCAGCUGGGCCUCGCAAAUUGAUUUCUGAUGAAGUUCUAAUUGACUGCACAGGCAGAAGAGGACCUGUCUGAGCAUAUUGAAGUGGGGUCUGUGGAGGCUCUGGCAGUACCACCUCCCCACAAGGAAGGGGAAGGAGAGGGGGAAGGUGUGAUUUAUGCCCCAUUUAUCAAGCAGCCUCUACCCUAUCCUGUUUUAUUGGUCCCAAGUGAAGUAUGAGAGCUUACAGCUUUAAUGUGGAAAUUUGCAGGCAGCUGGAGACCCCAGUGAGCUGCUGACAGAAUCACAGAAUCACUGACAGCUGCUUGUCACUUGUGCUGUGGGUGCCGGGGGGACCUUAAAUCCUGAGCCUCUCAACACGGGAUGCAGCCGUGGAUCAGGUCACAUUCAAAGUGCUGAGGUUUCCUCCAGAGCACUCCACUCUCCAUAAAGCCAUACCAGCAAAGCCAUGGGUGUUUCUUUCCUGUUGAUGUGGCUUAGAUCUUCUGGGAGCUGGGGUGCAUGGAGGGGGACAGCAUGUCCUCCUUGGCUAUCCUGGAGCCCUGAACCCUGUGUUCUGCCCUCCCUGAGCCUGGUAAUAGCAUGUCUCCUUUGCAAAGUUAUGAGCUUUGUCAGGCAAGUUUGUGGGCACCUUGGGUUGUAACUCCAGUAUGUCUCCAAUAUGUCUCCAAAGGAUCUGCCAUAAGGGCUCAGGCAAACUCUGUCCCUGCAGUCUGGCAGUGCACUUCUAUUGCUAGGGUAGAUGCUGUAGGAGAGCCAAGGCGAGGUCUGUGAUGUACCUGAAUGUAGAGGCACACAGAAUAUCAUAGAAUAUCCCAAGGUGGGGAGACCCCAAUUCCCACCCUCACAGGACAAGGGUUAGGCUGCCUGGAGAUGUGUGUUGCACCAGAGUAUGGUUCUUCAGUGAAGGUCCAUGCAGUCUGACUGACAGCCCCAUUUUGCUCCUGAGAACAUCACUUGUGACCUACUGGCUCCUUCUGAGCUCUCCUGGUGGGAAGAGGGCACUAUGCCAGGUCUCUGAAGCACGCCUGACUCUGCUUCUCCUUCAGCACGCAUGGAGACCUAAUGGUUGAGCUGGGCAUGAGGAAGGUGAUGGAUAGUGAUUUCAUGAAAAUUGAAAACAACACCAUCAACAAAACCAAUCAGUGCAUGUGUGGCUGGCUGCUGAGUUUUAAGAGAAACGGCUGUGUUUUUCAAACACACAGAAGUGACUGUAACUUCCUCUCCAUCCUCUACCUACAUUAACUUAAGAGAGAGCCAGGUGCUUAAAGGUUGCUUGGUAGGCAAUGGCUGUUCUGUAAAGGGCUACUCAUCUCUAACAGAGAUAGCUUUUCUUUUAUUGAACAUCAUCCAGAGUGGCUGAAACCUGAUAAAAAAAUCCAGAGUGAUAGCUUUCUUUUUUUUUUUCCUUCCUAUUUCCAGUGAGGAAUAAUAACCAGCAAAAUAAAAAAGGCAAUUGUCUCGCUGUAUGCACUGCUUUAAGCAAAGGCUUUCUGUGGCAGGGUUUGCAGCUUAGGUAAAUGUCCAAUUAGAAAGAUUUUGAAGAAAGGCCUUGUUUGAACAUGUCCCCCCCACACCAUUUCCAUUUCCAGUAUUUCUAGCCUCAUCUAUUUGUUAUAUGGGAAGGAGAUUUAAGAGGAUGAAGCUGCAUGUGUGGGGCUUAGGUGACAGAAUUAUCCUUGGGAAAAUCAGAUUCGGGUGGAAAGUGGCAACAUUUAGUGAAAUGGCUUAGCAGGCAAUAUUGGUGGACACUUGGUACGUGGACACUUAGACUUGAUGAUUUCAGAGGUCUUUUCCAAUUUAAUUAUUUUAUGAUUCAGUGAUUUUAUGAUUCUACAAAUAUGUUUUUGUGUGGUGGUCCCUGGGACAUGGAGAUGUGAGACACAUUAGGUUGAUUCUGCUUCCUUGCAGCAAGGACAAAUGCACUGAGAUUUAUGGAAAAGGGGUUUCUGGCUCUAAAAAAAAUGGAAAUAAAUUUUACAUGGGGAUGAUGAUUCCUGUUCACCUCGAACCUAGGGUGACAAGCUGCGAAUCAAAGCCUUUCUGUGGUUGUAGCUGCGGGUUGCUUCAGAGCAGUCUUGACUGAUGAGGUUUGACUGAUUCCUAGUUUGUUUGUUUUUGUUGUUUUCCAAAUGACUGUUUUUAAUUACUCGAUGAGCAGAGCCAGAAGUACAAAAGUACAACCAGCAAUGGAAAUGCGUCUGAGCGGGGCUGCAAACGGGGUAGACAAAGCCCACGCUUAUGGCACGUGGGGAUAUUUCUGCACAGCAGCUUCAUCUGCACAGGAUUGCACACAUUUCUCACCACUCCUUGGGCACCACGAAAUGUAGAGAUGUGAUGCACACUGAGAUGAGUCCUCUCCGAUCCUUAGAAAAUCCACCAGGAUUGAAUUUGGCCAUACUCACGAGCAUCUGGUACAUAUAUCUGCUAUAGAAAGAGUAGACCCUGUUCUUCAAAGCUGUCAGCCCUAUUUUUACCCACAACAUGAAGUUCAAUUAAAAAUUACAUUAUAUGUCUCCCAGAUACGUGUUUCUCUCGUCUCUCUCCUUUUUUUCCAAGCUGUGCGACAUAUGGGGCAACCACACUGCGUGUGCUCAGAAAGCAUGUCCAGUCCUCAGCAUGUCAUAGAUUCCCACACAAAUAUGGAGGCUAUUAAGUAGAAGUUAUUAAGUGUCAUUUCUAAUAUACUGGAAUGUGACAAGGAAGGAUUUAUUUUUAUGCUGGUGCCUCGGCCAUCAGAGCAGUGGUGGGUGCGCGGUUUUUCUCCACUGUUGGAGCUCAGCAGAGUGGUUUCAUUGACCUCUACCUCCCAUUUGGUCCCUGCUUGGGAUGUUCUUGGGCUGGAACUAAUGACAUAGUGUGGUUUAAACUUGGAAAAAGUGACGCUGAACAUUUGAGGAUAUCAAAACCCGUAUGGAGAAGCAGAUGUAGCCCAAAUGCUCAUCCUGAAUUGAAAGAGGACACACGGCCCAGCUGAGUUAUGGACCAAGACAGGAACCACUUCUGAUAAACUUCUCAAAUUCCAUCUCAGAGAUGGGCAAUGGAAACCACUGGUAUGUGUAAGCACUACAGGUUGUUUAAUCCUUCCACCCCCAACCCUACUCUGAUUGAAGACCAUGCCUGGAGUCAACUUUUCUUGUCAGAAGCGGAAUUUCAGUCUUUCUAAUAAAAACACUCUUCUUCUCCA
This is a non-coding RNA of Meleagris gallopavo (turkey), 11930 nucleotides long. The record is from RefSeq and is a predicted model, not a curated record. NCBI's taxonomy places the organism in Eukaryota, Metazoa, Chordata, Aves, Galliformes, Phasianidae.